Molecule: ribosomal RNA, 445 nt
Filed under: uncultured bacterium
Lineage: Bacteria
Description: partial 16S ribosomal RNA
Rfam family: Bacterial small subunit ribosomal RNA
Source: RNAcentral
GUGAGGAAUAUUGCGCAAUGGAGGCAACUCUGACGCAGCCAUGCCGCGUGCAGGAAGAAGGCGCUACGCGUUGUAAACUGCUUUUAACCGGGAAGAAACCCCAGGACGUGUCCUGGGUUGACGGUACCGGAGGAAUAAGCACCGGCUAACUUCGUGCCAGCAGCCGCGGUAAUACGAAGGGUGCAAGCGUUAUCCGGAUUCAUUGGGUUUAAAGGGUGCGUAGGCGGAGCGUUAAGUCAGGGGUGAAAUCCUGCAGCUUAACUGUAGACUUGCCAUUGAUACUGGCGCUCUUGAGUGCGCUUGAAGUGGGCGGAAUGUGCCGUGUAGCGGUGAAAUGCUUAGAUAUGGCACAGAACACCAAUUGCGAAGGCAGCUCACUAAGGCGAUACUGACGCUGAGGCACGAAAGCGUGGGGAUCGAACAGGAUUAGAAACCCGUGUAGUCC